GGCUGACGGGACGUGUAGUCCCGGCCCUCAGGAGUAAAGAGCGCUCCUGCCCGCCUCAUCCCACUCCUUAAUGAUAUUUACUACUUAUUUAUUAAUUCUUCAUGUGCCCUGUUCAUUUUGGAGACACAUAUAAUUAUUCUUAGCUUAUCCAUCCUUGAGGUAAAAAGGUCCAGUGAAUGGGAAUGGAAAGCCAACAAACCAGAAUCUGAAAGCAGCCAAGUAGGGCGACCGCAUCCCACAGAUGUCCGGCAUGGAGAACCCGGGAGCUGCAGGACACGGCAGAGCCUCCCCGAGGUCAGCAGGAUGAGAAUAUCUGUGCAAAGAAGGGAUGGCUUCUCUGGGAUGGAUUCUGCAGGUUGAGAAGAGAAAAUGUUCCCGUUUCUCCUGAUGGUGCAGAAGAAAUUGCAGCUCUGGCCACUCAGCUGUUCAUCCUGCUUCUUCCCCUUUUUCUCAAAACUGAGUUUUGAGCACAGUGCAAUAAAGGCAGUCUCAAGGUG
Parus major (Great Tit) is the source of this 497-nucleotide long non-coding RNA. RefSeq lists it as uncharacterized. Lineage: Eukaryota; Metazoa; Chordata; Aves; Passeriformes; Paridae. The transcript has 4 exons. The record is from RefSeq and is a predicted model, not a curated record.